AGAGUUUGAUCAUGGCUCAGGACGAACGCUGGCGGCGUGCCUAAUACAUGCAAGUCGAGCGAAUCGACGGGAGCUUGCUCCCUGAGAUUAGCGGCGGACGGGUGAGUAACACGUGGGCAACCUGCCUAUAAGACUGGGAUAACUUCGGGAAACCGGAGCUAAUACCGGAUACGUUCUUUUCUCGCAUGAGAGAAGAUGGAAAGACGGUUUACGCUGUCACUUAUAGAUGGGCCCGCGGCGCAUUAGCUAGUUGGUGAGGUAAUGGCUCACCAAGGCGACGAUGCGUAGCCGACCUGAGAGGGUGAUCGGCCACACUGGGACUGAGACACGGCCCAGACUCCUACGGGAGGCAGCAGUAGGGAAUCUUCCGCAAUGGACGAAAGUCUGACGGAGCAACGCCGCGUGAACGAAGAAGGCCUUCGGGUCGUAAAGUUCUGUUGUUAGGGAAGAACAAGUACCAGAGUAACUGCUGGUACCUUGACGGUACCUAACCAGAAAGCCACGGCUAACUACGUGCCAGCAGCCGCGGUAAUACGUAGGUGGCAAGCGUUGUCCGGAAUUAUUGGGCGUAAAGCGCGCGCAGGUGGUUCCUUAAGUCUGAUGUGAAAGCCCACGGCUCAACCGUGGAGGGUCAUUGGAAACUGGGGAACUUGAGUGCAGAAGAGGAAAGUGGAAUUCCAAGUGUAGCGGUGAAAUGCGUAGAUAUUCGGAGGAACACCAGUGGCGAAGGCGGCUCACUGGCUCGAUACUGACGCUGAGGUACGAAAGUGUGGGGAGCAAACAGGAUUAGAUACCCUGGUAGU
Molecule: ribosomal RNA, 803 nt
Filed under: uncultured bacterium
Lineage: Bacteria
Description: bacterial SSU rRNA
Rfam family: Bacterial small subunit ribosomal RNA
Source: RNAcentral